UACUAAGAAAAGCCUUCUCCCAGCUCCUUCACUUAUCGACAAUCAAUCUCAAUGAAUUAAACUCUUCUUUCUGCCCUGACAGGUGUGGAACCCAAAGGAAGAUGAUACGGUGUUAGGAGUCUCGACCCCUAGAGCACAGAACAAUAACCCUCACAAAUUUCAUCUAUCCUUGAUUCUCUUGAGUGGAUACUAAGAAAGCAACCCAUGCGUUUUCACGUCCUUGCUAAAACUUGGAGAGGUGCUUCACUUCUGGCAGGACAGGCUAAAACUUGGAGAGGUGCUUCCCUUCUGGCAGGACAGGUGUGGAACCCAAGGGAAGAUGAUAGGGUGUAGGAGUCUAGACCCCUAGAGCACAGAACAAUAACCCUCACAAAUUUCAUCUAUCAUUGAUCCUCUGGC
This is a long non-coding RNA of Meriones unguiculatus (Mongolian gerbil), 399 nucleotides long. RefSeq lists it as uncharacterized. The transcript is spliced from 4 exons. The record is from RefSeq and is a predicted model, not a curated record. Lineage: Eukaryota; Metazoa; Chordata; Mammalia; Rodentia; Muridae.